Molecule: ribosomal RNA, 719 nt
Filed under: uncultured bacterium
Lineage: Bacteria
Description: bacterial SSU rRNA
Rfam family: Bacterial small subunit ribosomal RNA
Source: RNAcentral
AGAGUUUGAUCAUGGCUCAGAUUGAACGCUGGCGGCAUGCUUUACACAUGCAAGUCGAACGGCAGCACGGGCUUCGGCCUGGUGGCGAGUGGCGAACGGGUGAGUAAUGCAUCGGAACGUACCUAGUAGUGGGGGAUAGCUCGGCGAAAGCCGGAUUAAUACCGCAUACGCCCUGAGGGGGAAAGUGGGGGACCGCAAGGCCUCACGCUAUUAGAGCGGCUGAUGUCGGAUUAGCUAGUUGGUGGGGUAAAGGCCUACCAAGGCGACGAUCCGUAGCUGGUCUGAGAGGACGACCAGCCACACUGGGACUGAGACACGGCCCAGACUCCUACGGGAGGCAGCAGUGGGGAAUUUUGGACAAUGGGCGCAAGCCUGAUCCAGCCAUGCCGCGUGAGUGAAGAAGGCCUUCGGGUUGUAAAGCUCUUUCAGAUGGAAAGAAAUCGGGUGGGUUAAUACCUUGCCUGGAUGACGGUACUGUCAGAAGAAGCACCGGCUAACUACGUGCCAGCAGCCGCGGUAAUACGUAGGGUGCGAGCGUUAAUCGGAAUUACUGGGCGUAAAGCGUGCGCAGGCGGUUUUGUAAGACAGAUGUGAAAUCCCCGGGCUUAACCUGGGAACUGCGUUUGUGACUGCAAGGCUAGAGUACGGCAGAGGGGGGUGGAAUUCCACGUGUAGCAGUGAAAUGCGUAGAUAUGUGGAGGAACACCGAUGGCGAAGGC